This 798-nucleotide unclassified non-coding RNA is filed under the name Hevea brasiliensis (rubber tree). Lineage: Eukaryota; Viridiplantae; Streptophyta; Magnoliopsida; Malpighiales; Euphorbiaceae. The record is from RNAcentral.
AGAAUUAUUUAAAAAAAAAAAAAAAGAACUUCAGAGGAACAAAGUCCACAGAGAGAAAAAGGAAAGUCAGAAAAUUAAAAUGGCAAAAUGAAUAUCCAACCAAGAAUUGCUGGUAAUUAACAAUUUGACAAGGUCAGCCAUGUAUCUAUGGGCUUUCUCAAUCAACUGAAGUCAAUUUUCAGCUCUGACAUAUGGAGAAAAAUAUCACAAAAAAUGGCAAUUGAAUUGGUGUAUGGGAUUUCAAAAACAUGUAGAAGAGUAAAUUAACUCAGACGUGAUUGUCUUUUAUUUCUACGUAGCAGGGACCAAUUAAGAAUAUGGCAAAGGUAUGGUAUUUAAGUUACAAAAACAGUAGCUGAUUAGAAAAAUUCCCCAUACCAAAACUAAAUAUUUCCAAAAUAAAAGCCAUUUAUAAUACUACCUUUGCCAUCCCACCCAAAGAAACCAAGAAAAGCAAGGAAAAAAAAAAAGAACAUCCUUGCUUGGACAACAAAUUGCCACAUUCUUUACCCCAGACAGAUGUUGUUGUGUUUUUGGCAUACAACCAUAGUUACCUAGAUCACAGUACUCUCAGAUGGUGGCACCACUUAAUAAAAUAUAGGAUACAUAGGGUUAUGUUCAAUUGAUACACAAAUUUGGUUUGAGGUACACUAAUAGGGUUAUGUUCAAUUGAUACACAAAUUUGGUUUGAGGUACACUAAUAGGGUUAUGUUCAAUUGAUACACAAAUUUGGUUUGAGGUACACUAAUUAUAUUUACGUGGUAUGUAAAGCAUAUUUAUGUGACAAUUUAUUUUCAA